RNAcentral lists this ribosomal RNA (253 nucleotides) under uncultured bacterium. RNAcentral's name for it is "partial 16S ribosomal RNA". It matches the Rfam family "Bacterial small subunit ribosomal RNA", at positions 524 to 776 of the family's 1533-position model. The record is from RNAcentral.
UACGAGGGGGGCGAGCGUUGUUCGGAAUUAUUGGGCGUAAAGAGCUUGUAGGCGGUUUGUCGCGUCUGCUGUGAAAUUUCGGGGCUCAACCCCGAACUUGCAGUGGGUACGGGCAGACUAGAGUGUGGUAGGGGAGACUGGAAUUCCUGGUGUAGCGGUGAAAUGCGCAGAUAUCAGGAAGAACACCCGUGGCGAAGGCGGUUCUCUGGGACGGUACUGACGCUGAGACGCGAAAGCGUGGGGAGCGAACAGG